This 253-nucleotide ribosomal RNA is filed under the name uncultured bacterium. RNAcentral's name for it is "partial 16S ribosomal RNA". It matches the Rfam family "Bacterial small subunit ribosomal RNA", at positions 524 to 776 of the family's 1533-position model. The record is from RNAcentral.
UACGUAGGGGGCUAGCGUUGUCCGGAAUUAUUGGGCGUAAAGAGCUCGUAGGCGGUUUGUCACGUCUGCUGUGAAAUCCCGAGGCUCAACCUCGGGCCUGCAGUGGGUACGGGCAGACUGGAGUGCGGUAGGGGAGAAUGGAAUUCCUGGUGUAGCGGUGGAAUGCGCAGAUAUCAGGAGGAACACCGAUGGCGAAGGCAGUUCUCUGGGCCGUAACUGACGCUGAGGAGCGAAAGCGUGGGGAGCGAACAGG